AUGGAUGCAGCCUUCCUUGCGGAGUCAGAGGUGGGUGCUUGGGGUUUUGUAAUUCGGGAUGAAAUGGGAAAUUUCCUAGCAGCGGCGACUGGGAAGUUGCAGUAUGUCCGGAGCCCUCUGCACGCGGAGAUCAGUGCGUGCAUGAAAGCUAUUGAGGGCGCGGCAGAUCUGGGUGCUCAGCGUAUCAUCCUUGAAUCAGAUUGUCUAAUGAUGAUUAGUGCGCUCAAGGGCCGGGACUUCGACACAGCAGAGUUGGGUGUUCUCUUCAGGGAAGCUAGGAGUGCAUGCCAUGCUUCAUUUGGUUCCUAUGAGUUCAUGUUCUCUCGUAGGGAAUGUAAUAGGGUUGUGCACUCUCUGGCGCAAUUUGGUUUGAGGGCUGCUGUCCCUUUUUCUGUUUGGGCUGUUGAAGCCCCAGACUUCGUUUCGAUUCUGGUUGACACUGAGAUGGUGCGCCAGCUCUAA
This 462-nucleotide ribosomal RNA is filed under the name Triticum aestivum (bread wheat). RNAcentral describes it as "partial small subunit ribosomal RNA". The record is from RNAcentral. Lineage: Eukaryota; Viridiplantae; Streptophyta; Magnoliopsida; Poales; Poaceae.